UUCCAGGCUUUCUGUCCUGCCAAUAAGUAGGUUUUUUUUUAGUUUUUUUGAGCCCUGCACUGAAACUACCAGUUCGAGUCCCAGAAGUCCACCCAGAUGAAGAUUCCUCCCAGACCAAAGGUACCACCAAAAAAGCUCUUACUGCCAAUGGAGUGCCCAGGCUGAGCCACCAAGUGCACCAGAAAGCCAAAGCUUCCAGGCUUUCUGUCCUGCCAAUAAGUAGGUUUUUUUUGUUUUUCUGAGCCCUGCACUGAAACUGCCAGUUCGAGUCCAAGAAGUCCAGCCAGAUGAAGAUUCCUCCCAGAGCAAAGGUGCCACACCAGAAUUCUCUUGCUGCCCAUGGAGUGUUCAGGAUUGCCUGCUAAGUGCACCAGAAAGCCAAAGCUUCCAGGCUUUCUGUCCUGCUAAUAAGCGUUUGAUUUUUUGAUUUUUUGAGCCCUGCACUGAAACUGCCAGUUCGAGUCCCAGAAGUCCAGCCAGAUGAAGAUUCUUCCCAGAGCAAAGGUGCCACACCAGAAUUCUCCUGCUGCCCAUGGAGUGCCCAGGCUGGCCCACCAAGUGCACCAGAAAGCCAAAGCUUCCAGGCUUUCUGUCCUGCCAAUAAGUAGGUUUUUUUUGGUUUUUUGAGCCCUGCACUGAAACUGCCAGUUGGAGUCCCAGAAGUCCACCCAGAUGAAGAUUCCUCCCAGUGCAAAGCUACCACCAAAAAAGCUCUUGCUGACCAAGGUGUUCCCAGGCUGACUCACCAAGUGCACCAGAAAACCAAAGGUUCCAGGCUUUCUUUCCUGGGGAGAAGGGCUGUGGUUUUCUUUUUCAGGCCUACACUGCAACUGCCAGUCCCACUCCCAAUAUUGUAGACAGAUGAAGAUUCCUCCCAGACCAAAGGUGCCACAACAGAAUUCUCCUGCUGCCCAUGGAGUGCCCAGGAUUGCCUGCUAAGUGCACCAGAAAGCCAAAGCUUCCAGGCUUUCUGUCCUGGCAAUAAGUAGGUUUUUUUUGGUUUUUUGAGCCCUGCACUGAAACUGCCAGUUCGAGUCCCAGAAGUCCACCCAGAUGAAGAUUCCUCCCAGACCAAAGGUGCCACAACAGAAUUCUCCUGCUGCCCAUGGAGUGUUCAGGAUUGCCUGCUAAGUGCACCAGAAAGCCAAAGCUUCCAGGCUUUCUGUCCUGCCAAUAAGCGUUUUAUUUUUUGUUUUUUUUGAGCCCUGCACUGAAACUGCCAGUUCGAGUCCCAGAAGUCCACCCAGAUAAGGGUUCUUCCCAGACCAAAGGUGCCACAACAGAAUUCUCCUGCUGCCCAUGGAGUGCUCAGGA
This is a long non-coding RNA of Pipra filicauda (Wire-tailed manakin), 1314 nucleotides long. RefSeq lists it as uncharacterized. The transcript is spliced from 3 exons. NCBI's taxonomy places the organism in Eukaryota, Metazoa, Chordata, Aves, Passeriformes, Pipridae. The record is from RefSeq and is a predicted model, not a curated record.